Long non-coding RNA from Cucurbita moschata (crookneck pumpkin), 256 nucleotides. RefSeq lists it as uncharacterized. NCBI's taxonomy places the organism in Eukaryota, Viridiplantae, Streptophyta, Magnoliopsida, Cucurbitales, Cucurbitaceae. The transcript has 3 exons. The record is from RefSeq and is a predicted model, not a curated record.
UUGGUUCAUUUAUCUUAAGAUGUAGGCUAACGAAAAAUGUGAGGAUUUGGAAAUGAUGGUUCAUUUCUGCUUAGAGUCCUUUAGGGGCAUUUCUUUACCCUUUUUUUUUUUUUUUGUUGAUCUCAUAGAUACUGGUUUAUGCGCUGGACAGUGAAAUAACUGAUACCAAGAACGAGUUGAUCAGCACAUGCUAUUUAAUCUAUUAAAUUACUUUUAAUGUUGGUGCUCAUAAUUAUUGUUAUUAACGACCAGUUUU